RNAcentral lists this ribosomal RNA (497 nucleotides) under uncultured bacterium. RNAcentral's name for it is "partial 16S ribosomal RNA". It matches the Rfam family "Bacterial small subunit ribosomal RNA", at positions 28 to 507 of the family's 1533-position model. The record is from RNAcentral.
GAUGAACGCUGGCGGCGUGCCUAAUACAUGCAAGUCGAGCGAACAGAUGAUGAGCUUGCUCCUCUGACGUUAGCGGCGGACGGGUGAGUAACACGUGGAUAACCUACUUAUAAGUCUGGGAUAACUUCGGGAAACCGGAGCUAAUACCGGAUAAUAUAUUGAACCGCAUGGUUCAAUAGUGAAAGACGGUUUUGCUGUCACUUAUAGAUGGUUCCGAGCUGCAUUGGCUAGUUGGUAAGUGCACGGCUUACCAAGGCAACGAUGCGUAGCCGACCUGAGAGGAGGAUCGGCCACACUGGAACUGAGACACGGUCCAGACUCCUACGGGAGGCAGCAGUAGGGAAUCUUCGGCAAUGGGCGAAAGCCUGACGCAGCAACGCCGCGUGAGUGAUGAAGGUCUUCGGAUCGUAAAGCUCUGUUAUUGGGGAAGAACAGAUGUGUAAGUAACUAUGCACGUCUUGACGGUACCUAAUCAAAAAGCAACGGCUAACUACGUG